UGUGAAGCCUGAAGAGGCACAGUAACAUGUUGGUGAAGUUCGCGACGACCUAUUUGUCCUUUGAUCCAUCAUUACUGCCCUCAAAAAUAAGCCCACUCUGUCAGCCUCUACAAAAUAUUCCCAUGUGUUCCUGGGUACUGCUGAGCAAGACAUCUGGAAGCAAGCAUCCUUGUUUUUCAACCAUGAUAACAAUAGAGGAAUUAGAAAAAUUAUGUUAAAUGUUUCAUUUUUCUGAUGGGGAAAAGAUCUCUAGCCAUGAGAGUUAAAUUCAGAAUGGAAGAUCUGGACCACCCUCCUGCCAUCAAAUUAAAAUGGAUUAAUUUGUACUUAUUCGGUGUUGCCAGGU
Long non-coding RNA from Chinchilla lanigera (long-tailed chinchilla), 346 nucleotides. RefSeq lists it as uncharacterized. The transcript is spliced from 3 exons. NCBI's taxonomy places the organism in Eukaryota, Metazoa, Chordata, Mammalia, Rodentia, Chinchillidae. The record is from RefSeq and is a predicted model, not a curated record.